GAUGAACGCUGGCGGCGUGCCUAAUACAUGCAAGUCGAGCGAACAGACGAGGAGCUUGCUCCUCUGACGUUAGCGGCGGACGGGUGAGUAACACGUGGAUAACCUACCUAUAAGACUGGGAUAACUUCGGGAAACCGGAGCUAAUACCGGAUAAUAUAUUGAACCGCAUGGUUCAAUAGUGAAAGACGGUUUUGCUGUCACUUAUAGAUGGAUCCGCGCCGCAUUAGCUAGUUGGUAAGGUAACGGCUUACCAAGGCAACGAUGCGUAGCCGACCUGAGAGGGUGAACGGCCACACUGGAACUGAGACACGGUCCAGACUCCUACGGGAGGCAGCAGUAGGGAAUCUUCCGCAAUGGGCGAAAGCCUGACGGAGCAAGGCCGCGUGAGUGAUGAAGGUCUUCGGAUCGUAAAACUCUGUUAUUAGGGAAGAACAAAUGUGUAAGUAACUAUGCACGUCUUGACGGUACCUAAUCAGAAAGCCACGGCUAACUACGUG
RNAcentral lists this ribosomal RNA (497 nucleotides) under uncultured bacterium. RNAcentral's name for it is "partial 16S ribosomal RNA". It matches the Rfam family "Bacterial small subunit ribosomal RNA", at positions 28 to 507 of the family's 1533-position model. The record is from RNAcentral.